Molecule: long non-coding RNA, 468 nt
Filed under: Nicotiana tabacum (common tobacco)
Lineage: Eukaryota; Viridiplantae; Streptophyta; Magnoliopsida; Solanales; Solanaceae
Description: long non-coding RNA (NTAB_LNC003571)
Source: RNAcentral
GCAUUAGGGUUUUAAACCCUAACUGAACUUUUUUCCAUUCAGCCAGCAUUAGGGUUUUAAACCCUAAACUAAGUUUUUCCAUGCAGUCAGCAUUAGGGUUUUAAACCCUAAACUGACCUUUUUUCCUUUAAUCAGCAUUAGGGUUUUAAACCCUAACUGAACUUUUUUCCAUUCAGCCAGCAUUAGGGUUUUAAACCCUAAACUGAGCUUUUCCAUGCAAUCAGCAUUAGGGUUUUAAACCCUAAACUGAGCUUUUCCAUGCAAUCUGCAUUAGGGUUUUAAACCCUAAACUGAAUUUCUCCUUUAGUCAGCAUUAGGGUUCUAAACCCUAAACUGAAUUUUUUUCCAUUCAGCCAGCAUUAGGGUUUUAAACCCUAAACUGAGCUUUUCCAUGCAAUCAGCAUUAGGGUUUAAACCCUAAACUGAGAUUUUCCAUUCAGUCAGCAUUAGGGUUUUAAACCCUAAACU